GAUGAACGCUAGCGGCAGGCCUAAUACAUGCAAGUCGAGGGGUAGGAGAGGCUUGCUUCUUUGAGACCGGCGCACGGGUGCGUAACGCGUAUGCAACCUACCAUCAUCUGGGGGAUAGCCCGGAGAAAUCCGGAUUAAUACCGCAUAAAAUCACAGGAUGGCAUUAUCCAAUGAUCAAACAUUUAUGGGAUGGAGAUGGGCAUGCGUGUCAUUAGCUAGUUGGCGGGGUAACGGCCCACCAAGGCGACGAUGACUAGGUGAUCUGAGAGGAUGGCCCCCCACACUGGUACUGAGACACUGACCAGACUCCUACGGGAGGCAGCAGUAAGGAAUAUUGGUCAAUGGAGGCAACUCUGAACCAGCCAUGCCGCGUGCAGGAAGACUGCCCUAUGGGUUGUAAACUGCUUUUAUUCGGGAAUAAACCUUAUUACGUGUAAUAAGCUGAAUGUACCGAAGGAAUAAGGAUCGGCUAACUCCGUGCCAGCAGCCGCGGUAA
RNAcentral lists this ribosomal RNA (496 nucleotides) under uncultured bacterium. Its description in RNAcentral is "partial 16S ribosomal RNA". It matches the Rfam family "Bacterial small subunit ribosomal RNA", at positions 28 to 523 of the family's 1533-position model. The record is from RNAcentral.